RNAcentral lists this ribosomal RNA (541 nucleotides) under uncultured bacterium. Its description in RNAcentral is "bacterial SSU rRNA". It matches the Rfam family "Bacterial small subunit ribosomal RNA", at positions 135 to 671 of the family's 1533-position model. The record is from RNAcentral.
AGUGGGGGAUAACGUAGCGAAAGUUACGCUAAUACCGCAUAUUCUGUGAGCAGGAAAGAGGGGGAUCGCAAGACCUCUCGCUUUCGGAGCGGCCGAUGUCGGAUUAGCUAGUUGGUGAGGUAAAGGCUCACCAAGGCUACGAUCCGUAGCGGGUCUUAGAGGAUGAUCCGCCACACUGGGACUGAGACACGGCCCAGACUCCUACGGGAGGCAGCAGUGGGGAAUUUUGGACAAUGGGGGCAACCCUGAUCCAGCCAUGCCGCGUGAGUGAAGAAGGCCUUCGGGUUGUAAAGCUCUUUCGGACGGAAAGAAAUCGCACGGGUUAAUACCCUGUGUGGAUGACGGUACCGUAAUAAGAAGCACCGGCUAACUACGUGCCAGCAGCCGCGGUAAUACGUAGGGUGCGAGCGUUAAUCGGAAUUACUGGGCGUAAAGCGUGCGCAGGCGGCUAUACAAGACAGGCGUGAAAUCCCCGGGCUUAACCUGGGAACUGCGUUUGUGACUGUAUGGCUAGAGUACGGCAGAGGGGGGUGGAAUUCCA